UGUCGGAUAGCCUUAUGUCCCCUGCGUGUC
Molecule: non-coding RNA, 30 nt
Filed under: Rattus norvegicus (Norway rat)
Lineage: Eukaryota; Metazoa; Chordata; Mammalia; Rodentia; Muridae
Source: RNAcentral